UUCCCCAUUGCCCCACCCCCACGUCCCCACGCAGCCAAAACUCUCAAAGAAAUCCCAUUACCCUAACCCUCCCAGCAGCACCUCCCAGCCCCGCCGAACAGUGUCUCCCAGCCCCUCCCAGCAGCCCCUAACUCUUCUUGCCCCUUUGCCUCCAAUCCUCUCAACUCUCAGCGCCUUUUGCUCUCGCUCUCUCUUCCUCGUUCUCCCUUUGCUCCGCGCCUCCGUCAUUGCUGUCGGCCUGCCUCUGGACAGCACCAAGAAUGGAGCCUAAGUCAGAGUUGGUCCAAUGGAGGAUAGCUAAAAAAUUGAGGAGCAGGUGCAGGAAGAAGUGAUUUCAGACAAUGGAACUGAAAAGAAGCAGGAAACUCGUGAUGAGAUGCUUUCGCAGCACAGUUUGAUCAUAGUAUGAGGGAUAACAUUAGUGAAACUGAAGGUGGAAUUGGUGGAUAUGUAAUAUUGUAAUCAUUUUUUCAUUAAUCUAGCU
This is a non-coding RNA of Arachis ipaensis, 484 nucleotides long. Lineage: Eukaryota; Viridiplantae; Streptophyta; Magnoliopsida; Fabales; Fabaceae. The record is from RefSeq and is a predicted model, not a curated record.